AUGCUACCUCAACUUUGGACAUACUCACAUACAAGGGGGAUUAAAGGGAAAGGGGAUCACAUGAAAGCAAACAUCAAGGAGAGAUAAGAAAAACAGAACAGCAGCAGCAUACAGAAAGGUAUAACAGACUAGUGUAUAGUCAUUUAGUACCAGAAAAUAUGUAGUUGAGGGGUCAUGUAGAAGGGAGAAAUAAACACAUAGUUUUAUAGAACAAUAUUUAAAUGGUGGAGACCUACCUGUUGCAAUUGUCAAACAGCACAACAAGCAAAUAGAGUUAUAUAGUUUAGCCUUGGCUUUUAGCCGGCUACACACAAGCAGCAACACAAGUAGCAAAAAAGAGAAGAGAGAGUUUAGUAUGUGUGUGUGUU
RNAcentral lists this long non-coding RNA (368 nucleotides) under Nicotiana benthamiana. Its description in RNAcentral is "long non-coding RNA (NBEN_LNC022192)". Lineage: Eukaryota; Viridiplantae; Streptophyta; Magnoliopsida; Solanales; Solanaceae. The record is from RNAcentral.